Molecule: long non-coding RNA, 239 nt
Organism: Perognathus longimembris pacificus (Pacific pocket mouse)
Lineage: Eukaryota; Metazoa; Chordata; Mammalia; Rodentia; Heteromyidae
Exons: 3
Source: RefSeq, a predicted model, not a curated record
AUGUAAUAUAGUAAAUACUGAUUGACAAUAAAUUUUAAUGGUCCAACUAUAAAAAAGCCAUAAUUAUUUCCCUAAAUAUUAAAUAAAAGCUAGUGACUCCAAACACUGUACUCAAUGACUCUUCAAUAAGCUUACUCUAUAAGAAGGAUUGAAAGUGGAAAUAAAGUAUUUGUAGAAGGUAAGUUUCAGAAUAGAAAAAAUUGGGCUGGGAAUGUGGCUUAGCAGUAGAGUGCUUUCCU